GACGAACGCUGGCGGCGUGCUUAACACAUGCAAGUCAAGGGGGCCCAGCAAUGGGCAACCGGCGAACGGGUGCGUAACACGUGAGCAACCUACCGAAAUGUGGGGGAUAGCCGGCCUAACGGCCGAGUAAUACCGCAUACGCUCUCGAUGAGGCAUUUCAUUGAGAGGAAACCUACGGGACAUUUCGAGGGGCUCGCGGCCUAUCAGCUAGUUGGAGAGGUAACGGCUCACCAAGGCGACGACGGGUAGCUGGUCUGAGAGGAUGGCCAGCCACAUUGGGACUGAGAUACGGCCCAGACUCCUACGGGAGGCAGCAGUGGGGAAUCUUGCGCAAUGGCCUAACGGCUGACGCAGCGACGCCGCGUGUAGGAUGAAGCUCUUCGGAGUGUAAACUACUGUUGCCCGGGACGAACAGCUCGAUUAAUCGAGCCUGACGGUACCGGGU
Molecule: ribosomal RNA, 445 nt
Filed under: uncultured bacterium
Lineage: Bacteria
Description: bacterial SSU rRNA
Rfam family: Bacterial small subunit ribosomal RNA
Source: RNAcentral